Molecule: transfer RNA, 74 nt
Filed under: Stegodyphus mimosarum
Lineage: Eukaryota; Metazoa; Arthropoda; Arachnida; Araneae; Eresidae
Rfam family: tRNA
About the family: Transfer RNA (tRNA) molecules are approximately 80 nucleotides in length. Their secondary structure includes four short double-helical elements and three loops (D, anti-codon, and T loops). Further hydrogen bonds mediate the characteristic L-shaped molecular structure. tRNAs have two regions of fundamental functional importance: the anti-codon, which is responsible for specific mRNA codon recognition, and the 3' end, to which the tRNAs corresponding amino acid is attached (by aminoacyl-tRNA synthetases). tRNAs cope with the degeneracy of the genetic code in two manners: having more than one tRNA (with a specific anti-codon) for a particular amino acid; and 'wobble' base-pairing, i.e. permitting non-standard base-pairing at the 3rd anti-codon position.
Source: Rfam by way of RNAcentral
GCCUUCGUGGUGUAAUUGGAUAGCAUGUCCGGCUGCCAAUCGGAAGGUUCGGCAUUUGAGUCAUGGCGAAGGCA